This 227-nucleotide long non-coding RNA is filed under the name Lathyrus oleraceus (garden pea). RNAcentral's name for it is "Pisum sativum (pea) long non-coding RNA (PSAT_LNC040857)". The record is from RNAcentral. Lineage: Eukaryota; Viridiplantae; Streptophyta; Magnoliopsida; Fabales; Fabaceae.
UUGACUAUGAAUUAAUAUUUUUUGAGUUUUUAUCAGGAAAAAUGGCUUGACAUUGGAUCAAGCAUUUGAUGAAGUUUGAGAGAAAUGGAAUAGAAUAGGAGGGAGAAAUGAAUUGAUUUGUUUAUUGAGAAAAUACUCGACGUUGGAUCGAGUCAUAUUUUUUGUAUUUUUUGAAAUUGUUGAUUUUACUCUUGUGUUAGUAUCUAACUAAACAGUCAAGUAAUAAA